AACGGAGGGGACGAGUGUUAUUCAUCAUGAUUGGGCGUAAAGGGUACGUAGGUUGUUUUCUAAGUACGAAUAAAAAGACCGGAAGCAGUUCUGAGGGAUAUUGGUAGACUGGAAAACUGGAGUGCGGAAGAGGAUACAAGGAAUUACAGUAGAGGGGUAAAAUCCGUUGAUAUUGGUAAAUACAUACUAACAGGCGAAGGCGUGUAUCUGGUACGUUACUGACACUGAGGUACGAAAGCGUGGGUAUCGAUCAGG
This 255-nucleotide ribosomal RNA is filed under the name uncultured bacterium. Its description in RNAcentral is "partial 16S ribosomal RNA". It matches the Rfam family "Bacterial small subunit ribosomal RNA", at positions 524 to 776 of the family's 1533-position model. The record is from RNAcentral.